This 790-nucleotide non-coding RNA is filed under the name Neurigona zhejiangensis. Lineage: Eukaryota; Metazoa; Arthropoda; Insecta; Diptera; Dolichopodidae. The record is from RNAcentral.
AAUAAGUUUUAUUUUGGCUUAAUAAUAAAUUCAUUAUAAGUUUAUUUUACAUGUAAAUUUUUGUGUGAAUUUAUAAUAUUUCUUAAAGAUAAUUAUAUUUUGAAUAUUCGCAGUGAUUAAUAUUAUAUAUUAAAGAAAUUUAGAUUUAAUAAUUCUUUAUAAUGUAGGCUAAUUUUGUGCCAGCAGCUGCGGUUAUACUAAAUACAUAAAUGAAUUUUUUUAGUUUUAGUUAAACUGAUAAAUUUUAAUAAUUUAAAGAAUUUUAGGUGAAAUUUUAUUUUUUUUUAUUAAUAUUUUUGAUUUGUUGAAGCUAAUAAAUUUUUAUUAUAAACUAGGAUUAGAUACCCUAUUAUUAAAAAUUAAUUUUUUUUUGCUUGGGUAGUAGUAGUUAAAUUCUUGAAACUCAAAAAAUUUGGCGGUAUUUUAGUCUAUUCAGAGGAACCUGUAACGUAAUUGAUAAUCCACGUUGGACCUUACUUAAUUUUGUUUUCAAUUUGUAUAUCGCCGUUAUUAAAAAUUUUAUAAGAAAAAUAAUUUUUAAAGAUUUUUAUAAAAAAAUAAAUCAGGUCAAGGUGCAGUUUAUAGUUAAGUGUUAUAUGGGUUACAAUAAAUUUAUUUAUAUGGAUUAGUAUUUGAAAUAAAAUUAUGAAAGUGGAUUUGAUAGUAAUUUUUAAUAGAUUAUAAAAUUGAUUAUAGCUCUAAAAUAUGCACACAUCGCCCGUCACUUUUACUAUUAAUGUAAGAUAAGUCGUAACAUAGUAGAUGUACCGGAAGGUGUAUCUAGAAAGAC